This 153-nucleotide ribosomal RNA is filed under the name uncultured fungus. Its description in RNAcentral is "partial 5.8S ribosomal RNA". It matches the Rfam family "5.8S ribosomal RNA". From Rfam's summary of the family: 5.8S ribosomal RNA (5.8S rRNA) is a component of the large subunit of the eukaryotic ribosome. It is transcribed by RNA polymerase I as part of the 45S precursor that also contains 18S and 28S rRNA. Functionally, it is thought that 5.8S rRNA may be involved in ribosome translocation. The record is from RNAcentral. Lineage: Eukaryota; Fungi.
AACUUUCACAACGGAUCUCUUGGCUCUCGCAUCGAUGAAGAACGCAGCGAAAUGCGAUAAGUAAUGUGAAUUGCAGAAUUCAGUGAAUCAUCGAAUCUUUGAACGCACCUUGCGCUCUUUGGUAUUCCGAAGAGCAUGCCUGUUUGAGUGUCA